This 305-nucleotide ribosomal RNA is filed under the name uncultured bacterium. RNAcentral describes it as "bacterial SSU rRNA". It matches the Rfam family "Bacterial small subunit ribosomal RNA", at positions 335 to 633 of the family's 1533-position model. The record is from RNAcentral.
GUCCUACGGGGGGCAGCAGUAGGGAAUUUUCGUCAAUGGGCGCAAGCCUGAACGAGCAAUGCCGCGUGAACGAGGAAGGUCUUCGGAUCGUAAAGUUCUGUUGACGGGGAAAAAAGACCGGGAAAGGAAAUGAUCCCGGAGGAGAUAUUACCCGUCGAGGAAGUCACGGCUAACUACGUGCCAGCAGCCGCGGUAAUACGUAGGAUGCGAGCGUUAUCCGGAUUUAUUGGGUUUAAAGGGUGCGUAGGCGGAAUGCCAAGUCAGCGGUAAAAUCGCGGGGCUCAACCUCGCUCCGCCGUUGAAAC